GGAUGUGAGGGCGAUCUGGCUGUGACAUCUGUCACCUCAUUGAUCAUCAGGGCUGAUUCCGCUGAUCUGUCUGGUUAGCCGGGUGUCGUCCUUCCUCCAUCAGUGCUCCAUGUGUGUGGCUCCAGAAGCUGAGCUCCCUGUCAGUUGAAGAGGACGACCACCCCUGAUAGAAGAGGAUUGUUCUUCAGUCAAGGGUAUAGGAGUAGCUGUACUCCCCUGCUAGAACCUCCAAAGAAGCUCUCAGAAAAUAGCAAGAAUGAUGGGGUAUGUGUGUUCCAAGUGAGGGAAAGUGUUUUGAUGGGAAUUGACAACAAUGUCUUUUAUUG
Molecule: small nuclear RNA, 326 nt
Filed under: Chinchilla lanigera (long-tailed chinchilla)
Lineage: Eukaryota; Metazoa; Chordata; Mammalia; Rodentia; Chinchillidae
Description: 7SK RNA (ENSCLAG00000021559.1)
Rfam family: 7SK RNA (bases 1-283)
About the family: 7SK was discovered as an abundant small nuclear RNA in the mid-70s but a possible function has only recently been suggested. Two independent studies have found that 7SK RNA binds the CDK9/cyclin T complex (known as elongation factor P-TEFb). P-TEFb activates transcription by phosphorylating the C-terminal domain of RNA polymerase II.
Source: RNAcentral